This 305-nucleotide ribosomal RNA is filed under the name uncultured bacterium. RNAcentral describes it as "bacterial SSU rRNA". It matches the Rfam family "Bacterial small subunit ribosomal RNA", at positions 337 to 656 of the family's 1533-position model. The record is from RNAcentral.
ACCUACGGGGCGCAGCAGUGGGGGAUAUUGGACAAUGGGGGGAACCCUGAUCCAGCGACGCCGCGUGAGUGAAGAAGUAUUUCGGUAUGUAAAGCUCUGUCAGCAGGGAAGAAAGAAAUGACGGUACCUGACCAAGAAGCCCCGGCUAACUACGUGCCAGCAGCCGCGGUAAUACGUAGGGGGCAAGCGUUAUCCGGAAUUACUGGGUGUAAAGGGAGCGUAGACGGUUAAGUAAGUCUGGAGUGAAAACCCGGGGCCCAACCCCGGGAGUGCAUUUGAAACUGUCUGGCUAGAGUGCAGGAGAG